AGAGUUAAACAGUACGUGAAAUUGUUGAAAGGGAAACGAUUGAAGUCAGUCGUACCGAUGGGCACUCAGCUUCUCGGGUGGGAUCGUGUCAGAUGUGGGAAGAUUUCACUUUGCCAUUGUUCCUGCCUCUGGGGUGUAAUUGUCCGUAUGGUAGGUUAACAUCAAUUUUGGUCGUCAUAAAAUGACGGGAGGAAUGUAGCUUCCCUCGGGAAGUGUUAUAGCCUCUGGUAGAUGUGAUGAUCGGGAUUGAGGAUUGCAACGAAUACCUUUCGGGGCUACCUGUCUGGCCUCUGGUCGUCGCCUUGGUGCCGAAAGCGUGCUUAUGGUAUCAAAGUUUGGUGGUUAAAAGGUUUUAGCACGGGUUAUAUUCGUUAAGGAUGUUGACGUAAUGACUUUAAACGACC
Molecule: ribosomal RNA, 404 nt
Filed under: Rhizophagus irregularis
Lineage: Eukaryota; Fungi; Glomeromycota; Glomeromycetes; Glomerales; Glomeraceae
Description: partial large subunit ribosomal RNA
Source: RNAcentral